This 2063-nucleotide long non-coding RNA is filed under the name Salmo salar (Atlantic salmon). RNAcentral describes it as "lncRNA (ENSSSAG00000112878.1)". The record is from RNAcentral. Lineage: Eukaryota; Metazoa; Chordata; Actinopteri; Salmoniformes; Salmonidae.
CUCCCCCAUCUCCCUCACUCCUCAUUUGUCCAUGUCUUUUAGCCAGAGGGUGAGUCUGGAGGGGGAGGGCUAGGCUGGAGGAGGGGGGCAUAUUGUAGGUGUGGAUUGAUGGACUUUGGCAUGGGUAAGCGGGUCUGGGACCGGACAGGAGAAUCAUAAAACAGUCUAAGGGAUGAGAGGCAGGAGGUGGCCAGACGCAACUUUUAAUGUUCCCCAUGACUCACACUGACUGUCCAUAAUGAGUUUUAUUCACUUCCAUCAUUUGAGUGUCAAUGACGAUCAUGGGCCGGGCAGAGAAAAUGAUUGAAGGAGGAGAGUGUGAGGGGGGGGGCACAUAGAUACACAUGUCCUAUGACCACAAGGCAACCUGCAGUUGACCGCUACAAACAAGGCGAUAAGGAUGGUCACAUUGCAUUAUGACCAGACCAUUGCAAAGUAACCAUAAGUAAGAGUGGAAAGCUGAUUGGAAGGAUGGAACACUGGUCAUUCCUGAGAAAGAAUAGAAAGCUGAUUGUUUGACAGAUUUGGGAUCACUUCAGUCCAAAUGUGUUGAUAAUGGCAUGUCAUUUAGGACUGAAGAAAUCUCACUGUGGGGUAGAUCAACAGCCUUCAUUCCUGAAAACCAUCACUGGUUUACCUUGCCCUUCUCAUUCUCUUUCUCUACUUCCUCUUACUCCUCCUGUUAUUCAAGCCCAUAUUCUGUUUCUUUCUCCACCUUCCUGUCUCUCCAUCCAGGCACAGCUCCCUCAUACAAAGGAGACGGUGAUAAUCCCCCAAAAAAGAGAUCAAUAUCUUCUCAUCCUUUUUAUGUCUCUUCACACUCUCUUUCUCUCUCCCUCGGUCCUCCUCUCCUCCCCACACCUAUAGGCAGGACCCCUUCACAGGCACUCCACAGACAGGCAGUUUAAAGAUAAUAAUCAAUAUUGAUCCAGAGAGAGAGAGAACGAAAGAGAGAAGGAAAGAAAGAGGGAAUAAGGAGGAAGAAGGGUGCGAGGGAGGGAGUGACCGGCCCUCACUCUGUCUGGUCUCUGACACGAUCAAUGAGCUUUAGCGGAUAGAGGAUGGAUGGAGCCUCUGACUGCUUUAGAGGAUAGAGGAUGGAUGGAGCCUCUGACUGCUUCCUAGUCAGUGACACUGCUAAAGAGAUUACACCCCAGGAGCGACACAGCCAUGGCCCACACACUCUCCACCUCUCUCUUUCUGUUUCUCCCUCUAUCUGUCUCUAUUUCUGCCUCUCUCUCGCUAUAUACACUACCGUUCAAAAGUUUGGGUUUCAGAAGAAAUGUCUUUGUUUCUGGCCAUUUUGAGCCUGUAAUCGAACUCACAAACGCUGAUGCUCCAGAUACUCAACUAGUCUAAAGAAGGCCAGUUUAUUUGCUUCAAUCAGAACAACUGUUUUCAGCUGUGCUAACAUAAUUGCAAAAGGGUUUUCUAAUGAUCAAUUAGCCUUUUAAAAUGAUCAACUUGGAUUAGCUAACACAACGUGCCAUUGGAACACAGGAGAGAUGGUUGCUGAUAAUGGGCCUCUAUACGCCGUUUCCAACUACAAUAGUCAUUUACAACAUUAACAAUGUCUACACUGUAUUUCUGAUCAAUUUGAUGUUAUUUUAAUGGACCAUUUUUUAAAUUUUCUUUCAAAACAAGGACAUUUCUAAGUGACCCCCAAACUUUUGAACGGAAAGUAUUCAGACCCCUUGACAUUUUCCACAUUUUGUUAGGUUACAGCCUUAUUCUAAAAUUCAAUCUACACACAAUAACCCAUAGCGACAAAGUAAAAACAGGUUUUUAGAUAUUUUUGCUAAUUUAUUCCAUUUAAAAACAGAAAUAUCAUAUUUACAUAAUUAUUCAGACCCUUUACCCAGCACUUUGUUGAAGCACCUUUGGCAGUGAUUACAGCCUUGAGUCUUCUUGGGUAUGAUGCUACAAGCUUGGCACACAUGUAUUUGGGGAGUUUCUCCCAUUCCUCUCUGCAGUGUUGCUGCACAGCUAUUUUCAGGUCUAUCCAAAGAUGUUCAAUCUGGUUCAAGUCCGGGCUCUGACUGGGCCACUCAAGGACAUUCAGA